GUGACCUUUGAGCUCAUGCCAUGUAGAAGCUGUGGCCUCUCAGCUAACACUCCCCCUACUUCACUUCCUCUCCAGCACCAGGACCGGAAGCCUGAGACUGCAUUUUGCACACUCCCUGCCAGCUGGUUCUGCCAGUGGGAGGCACUGGGAGGAGACUGAAAAGUGGAUGAAAGGGAGAAGUGAUCCUUCUUCCUGAUUCCGGUGGCAGCGUCAGCAAGAGCAACAGAGGCAGUGGCAAGAGCAGCAGUGGCCGUGGCCGUGGUAGCGGCGGCAGGAGCAAGGGACAGCUCUGAGGCUCCUGCUCUGGAGGCCGGAUCAGAACAGCGGCACAGCGGUGGACUCUGGGGACACAAUUCAACUCAUAGAAGAUGGGUUCAGAAGUGUAGGCUGCUAGAUGUCUGUGACUGCUUCACGUUUCUAAAGAGACCAAAGCGGCAAGGCAUGCUGUCUACAGCUGAUUAGUACCUGCCAACACAGCACCUGUGCCUGCCUACAGGGCUCAGCGUGGGGGAUUUAAGAAGACACCAGCCGCCUGGACUUGUUCGCUGCAAAUUCAGUAUGACUUGUGAGCCAAAAUAUCAGCCCCUCUAAUGAAGCUGUGAAAAGGACCUAGGAACAGCUUGAUUCCUCAGAACAACCAAGGAAGUGAAUGAAUACCUCAAAGGGUCUGUGUGGUGAGCAGCUCAAGACAUCAGCAUUCUCUUCUGAUCUCUCCAGAGUUUUAAACAACC
Long non-coding RNA from Bubalus bubalis (water buffalo), 731 nucleotides. RefSeq lists it as uncharacterized. The record is from RefSeq and is a predicted model, not a curated record. NCBI's taxonomy places the organism in Eukaryota, Metazoa, Chordata, Mammalia, Artiodactyla, Bovidae. The transcript has 3 exons.